UGGGGAAGUAUUGCACAAUGGGGGAAACCCUGAUGCAGCGACGCCGCGUGAGUGAAGAAGUAAUUCGUUAUGUAAAGCUCUAUCAGCAGGGAAGAAAAUGACGGUACCUGAGUAAGAAGCCCCGGCUAACUACGUGCC
RNAcentral lists this ribosomal RNA (138 nucleotides) under uncultured bacterium. Its description in RNAcentral is "partial 16S ribosomal RNA". It matches the Rfam family "Bacterial small subunit ribosomal RNA", at positions 355 to 509 of the family's 1533-position model. The record is from RNAcentral.